RNAcentral lists this ribosomal RNA (465 nucleotides) under uncultured bacterium. RNAcentral describes it as "partial 16S ribosomal RNA". It matches the Rfam family "Bacterial small subunit ribosomal RNA", at positions 339 to 795 of the family's 1533-position model. The record is from RNAcentral.
CUACGGGACGCACCAGUGGGGAAUAUUGCACAAUGGGCGGAAGCCUGAUGCAGCCAUACCGCGUGUGUGAAGAAGGCCUUAGGGUUGUAAAGCACUUUCAGUCGUGAGGAAAGGGGUGUAGUUAAUACCUGCAUCCUGUGACGUUAGCGACAGAAGAAGCACCGGCUAAUUCCGUGCCAGGCAGCCGCGGUAAUACGGAAGGUGCGAGCGUUAAUCGGAAUUACUGGGCGUAAAGCGCGCGUAGGUGGUUCAGUCAGUCAGCUGUGAAAGCCCCGGGCUCAACCUGGGAACUGCACCUGAUACUGCUGGACUUGAGUACGGUAGAGGGUAGUGGAAUUUCCUGUGUAGCGGUGAAAUGCGUAGAUAUAGGAAGGAACACCAGUGGCGAAGGCGACUACCUGGACCGAUACUGACACUGAGGUGCGAAAGCGUGGGGAGCAAACAGGAUUAGAUACCCCAGUAGUC